UGGUAGGGGGGGCGGGGAAGCGGGUGUGGGUGUGGGUGUGUGUGUAUGUGUGGAAAGAAAUGAUUUAUCUAUUGAAAGUCUAAAACAGUUGAUGUAGCGAUCAGGGCAUUGAUUUUGCUUUUUCCCUAGAUAAGACUGUGGCUGAGCUGAUACCAUUCGAUUACAGAAUAAAGAACGAAUUUUCUGUAAAAAAUUUUCUUAACUGGAAGUUCACAGGCUGUUAGUGUAAGCUCACCAAUGGAGAUACAAGCCUUGAAUAUAAAGGAGAGUGACACAGCAAGAAUUCCCCCUCUUGGAUCAGUGAUCCAAACCCAUGGAACCAAACCUACAAUAUGUCUAAGCUAUACCCGUACUACUAUUUAUGGAGAAAAAACAGGACAAUUGUCAGUGCAUACGUGCAUGUGGAUGUAACUGGAAGUGUACACACAGACUCUCCAUAUGUAUUUGUUUGUCUUUGUGUAAAGUAUCUUUGGAUGCUGAUUACACUGGAUUCUCCAAGCUAAGGGAAUGAUGGAUAACUAGGUGACAAAUUUGGGAUAAAAACCUUUCACACGUACACUUUUGUGACUAUUGGAUUUUUAACCACAGUGCUGUAAGUAAGCCAACAUUUUUAAAAUAUUGAAAAAAAAUUAGUCAGUAUAUGAUGGAAUUUCUACAUUGAUUUUGAGGUUUGAGUUGGCUAGUUCUUUGAUAUCCUAGUUAAGCAUCAUUGUAGGAAGCAUUUCCUGACACUGCUGCUAGGGAGAAAUAAUACGUGCCUUCUUCCAUGGCACUUUGAAUAUCAUUCUGUUAUCACCUUUUAAAUAUUGUAUUAUAGUUAGCUAUGUAUAAUUUUGUCUCCUCUAUUAGAGUGUGAGGGCCUCUGUAGGACAGAGAUAGAUAGAUAUUCAUAGAUGCAUUUAUUCAUUCACUUAUUAAGUGAGUACUAGACAAGGUGUUUAUUCAACCACGUAUCUUUAGUACCUGGCCUGGUCACUGAUAUAUAAGAAUUCAAUGCACUGCUUUUGAAUGAAUGUAUGAAUAAAUGAAUAAUGUUGAGUUCAGCAAUUUAUGAUAAGAUUCAGGAUGAUAGCUCCACCAAAUCAGUAUUGUUCAUAAUCCUGAGGACUUUCAAAAAAUACCAACUCUUCUUGCCUCAAAAAUUAAGCUGCAAUUAUGUUGAACACAAAUUUCAAGUAUUUGUUAAAAAAAACUCUUAAUCUACCUGUAGACAGAUUAAAUAUAUUCAUCCAGACACGAAGGAGACCCUAAAGUGUCUUCAAAUAAUAUUUCAUUACUUUCCUUCCUGGUAUAUUUGCAAAUACCAUGAUUAAAUCUAACAGAAUAAACUGACAUAAGCAAUUACCAUUUUUAGUGCAAAAUAUUUUAUAAUUACAAGUAUCAUGCAUAACUUGGGCAAAAUCUUUCCCACAAUAACUCUGGGAAAUAAGAGAUUUUGAUAGAGAUAACCAGAUAAAUGCAGCAUGAUUCCUACCAAGUCAAACAACAUGUCAACAGCAUUACUGGAUUGAACACAAAUGGAUCUGUGCUCUAAAGCCACGGUUUAACCUGUUUCCUCUCUCAAAUUAAAAAACAUCUUUAGGCUGAAACAGAAGAGGUAGUAGAAGAAUAUUGGUAAUCUCCAACCCAAACACCUCUGAUAAGAGAGGAUAUGGUGCUGGAAGUACUGAGUCCAAUCCUAAGUGACACACACAAAGGUAGGGACUGACUACCUGGGUGGUGAUGGAUAUUUUGCUUGAAAACCAUGAUUGUAAGUGGCUUUUCACAGAAUUCCUGGGAUCUAUGAAAAAGAAGAUUUGUUAAAACAUUGACUUCCUGAAGGAGUCAAAUGGUCUCGCAGCUUCCUUUGCAGAACUCUGUAUUCACCACUGUAUCUUACUGCAGUUUCAUGGAUUUACUCCUCCAUCCCCACCCCACCUCCCCUGAGAGUGCUUCUCAAGAAUAUAUAUUAUCAUUUUUUGUUUUUAAUCCCCAGUGGUUUGCCUAGUGCUAUGCAGAAAAUAGGACUUAAUAAAUAUGCAGACGAAAUAAUACAGUUCUUAUUCAAAGUCAGUAUGAUAUAGUAGAAAGUGGUCUACUCUUGGCUCUGUCCCUAAGAAGCAGAUUCAUCUAACACAUGUCACAGUAAAUCCAGUUUCAAUCUACUCUUCUAAAAAAUGAGUGGGUCAAUAGUUGACUUCUAGUAAUAUUUUUGGUUUUAAAGUUCUAUGAUUUUAUGUAAGUGUGACUAUUGGAGUGAGAGAGAGGCAGGGUCAUGACAGAUCAAUAAAGAAAUAAAAUCUAAAACAGUAA
Non-coding RNA from Macaca mulatta (Rhesus monkey), 2292 nucleotides. The record is from RefSeq and is a predicted model, not a curated record. Lineage: Eukaryota; Metazoa; Chordata; Mammalia; Primates; Cercopithecidae.